AGCAGCCGAGUUCGCGCCGCCGGUAGGUGCUGCCAUGCCAGGGGGCGGGAUCGUGGAGCGCCUCGCAGAACCGCACGAAAGCAAAAACAAAGCCAUCUCUCCGGAGCAGAAAUAGAACAGACGUGGCCGGGGAAAGCCAAAUAUUUGUGGCUGGACUCAGACACAUCACGCUCCAGUUUGGGUUCCAAGGUGCUUCUCUCUGGAUUUUCACCUGCCUUGCCAAAAAUGAUUGAUUACGCUGGGCCAACUGGGUGUCCGGCAAUACCCAACAAAUGACUUUGGCCCCUAACAGCAGGUCUUGGCCAGACAGAAAUCAAUAUUUCACCAUUAAAAUCUAUCAAAGAAGAGUUAAGGCACCAUCUGUCCCUGCCGCCUCUCUAUGGUGUGUGAACAUUAAAUCCGACACUUGUACUACAUGGGUAAUCAAUAUAUAGUGGUUCACAGAUCA
This 448-nucleotide long non-coding RNA is filed under the name Homo sapiens (human). RNAcentral's name for it is "non-protein coding lnc-CCDC93-2:7". Lineage: Eukaryota; Metazoa; Chordata; Mammalia; Primates; Hominidae. The record is from RNAcentral.